UUGGAAAUGGAAUUAAACUGGAACUUGUGCAAAAAACACAUUCACUAUUUAUUGGAAUAGUGAUAUUAACAGUCUGCUUGGCCGUUUCUGUUGUUGCAAAUAUAGUCUUUUUCUGCAACCUAAGUCUUAAAGAAUGUGAACAAUGUAAAGCUGCUGCUGCUCUGCAAACAUAUAUUGAAACAACCAGUAAUGGUCAACAGAUAUAUGAGGACUUGUUGGUUUAUUCUGCACCAACCAAGCAAACAACUGACAAAGCAGGGAAAAGGAACGCAAAGGCAGUGGAGGAAAAUUGUGUCUACACAAAAGUCUUCUACUUACUUAAAAAACAGAAAUAAAUCAUCACGAUGGAAGGAUAUUCACAUUGAAUGAAAAAAUAUGUUGGGACAGUUUAUCACAGCUUUUUUCAUUUUUGUUUCUGUUUUGUGUCUUGAUUAAAUUCCUUAAAGAAGCUUGUGAUGAAAUCCAAACUGUAUUUUUGAAAGAUUCAUCUGAGUCAUGAUUUCCUGAUGAUUUCCUUUUCUUAUCUUUUAUCUGAUCUGCGUUUUUUA
This is a long non-coding RNA of Scomber scombrus (Atlantic mackerel), 548 nucleotides long. RefSeq lists it as uncharacterized. The record is from RefSeq and is a predicted model, not a curated record. Lineage: Eukaryota; Metazoa; Chordata; Actinopteri; Scombriformes; Scombridae. The transcript has 4 exons.